GUGGAGAGUUUCUUGAGCUCGUGCCUCUGCGUGGACCUCUUCCAUCUCAAGAGAAACAUCCUUUUUACCGAGGAAUCUCUGAAAGGCUGCAGGUAACGAGGACUCUCAGGGAGGAAAGGCAGAACGCAGAGCUGCAGCACUGCAGGCAAUGCCAGGAAGGAAAACAAGUAGUUCCACCUGGACUCCUGGAGUCACAAAUCGCCAACAUCAGGGUUGUGCAGAUGUCAAGCCCGUGCCAUGACAUGUCAUCUGUCUGGGCUGAGCCACGGAACGGGAACACUUACCAGAAUCCACCCCCACGAUGAAGCGGCCAAUGAUGAGCAUCUCAAAGGACCGUGCCUUCUCCCCAAAGGAAACCGGAGUACUCGGAGAAAAACCCACGCAGGCACGGGGAGAACGUGCAAACUCCACAUCGGAAAAGCCCCAGCCCGGAUUGUAAGCCUGGACUCGACAGCGCGUGUUUCUACUUUGGUGCAGCUAUCGUGGACACACAACAACUGUCUUCAUGGCCCGAAAAAAAGUUCUCUCCUGGGGCAGUUUUCUCUCAACAAUGGCUGUCUUAUCCUAAUGAGGUACUUCAGUGUGCCCCUGUGUGAAAUGCAUGAAAGGCAAUUCUACAUAACCAGAAAGAGGUUGCAAAAAUGAUACGUUGUUAAAAGUCAUUUCAUAGCACGUGGCUGCAAUUCCCAGCAAAUAUGUCAUAUAUUCUGUGAGCUGAUACUGUAUACUCAGCCUUUCAUGUCAUCGCCCCUUAAGAGGCUUCCUUUGUCAAGCUUGGAGCUGAGGCCACACAAGUUCCCCAUGUGAGCAAGAGCAAUGGAAAACAGUUUGGCACUACCGCAAAGUGCGGUUAAGCCGACAUUCCAGCAAUGUCGUAAUUUUUGCUGUCUUUAGACAAUGCUUUAUUCUGCAGGAUACAUUUAGUUAUAUGAAACACUAAACCUUGCACUGAAACAGGAAGUGCUUCCGCCCUUGUGUAACUAUGCCCUUGAUAUCAUAAUGUUGUGCCAAAGGUUCCUCCAAUCAAACAGUUGGCAAAAACAAAGAUAAGUAUAGUCCUACCGUAUUAUGUCAUCAGCUGUUGUGUAAACACACCUUUCUGUCAUGGUCAGGGCUUCAUGAUGAACCUGACCACCAUUUAGAGAGAGAUCAUAAAUUUGCUAUCUUUAUCACACUUUAUCAAGUGUGUAAAUACUAACUCGACUUUUUAUCUUUGAAGAUUCUCCAACCUGAGACACUGCAGGCAAGUCACCAGGAAAACUACAAUCACAUGAGAACCGUUUGGCUAAUUCAAUUUGCCAACAAAAUAGAGGAGGAGGACUCAAAAUGAUGCGGCUGUCCUGCCCAGACAAAUGGAAUGAUAAAUGCCAAAUGAUUUAGGCUGAAAAAAAAA
Molecule: long non-coding RNA, 1393 nt
Organism: Hippocampus comes (tiger tail seahorse)
Lineage: Eukaryota; Metazoa; Chordata; Actinopteri; Syngnathiformes; Syngnathidae
Exons: 4
Source: RefSeq, a predicted model, not a curated record